AAAUAACAAGUUGAAAGACCAAAUUUGGUUGAAAAAUUUAAAAAAAAAGCAUGUCUUAACCCU
This 63-nucleotide transfer RNA is filed under the name Rhodomonas sp. CCMP768. Lineage: Eukaryota; Cryptophyceae; Pyrenomonadales; Pyrenomonadaceae. The record is from RNAcentral.